This 433-nucleotide ribosomal RNA is filed under the name uncultured bacterium. RNAcentral describes it as "partial 16S ribosomal RNA". It matches the Rfam family "Bacterial small subunit ribosomal RNA", at positions 29 to 507 of the family's 1533-position model. The record is from RNAcentral.
AACGAACGCUGGCGGCAUGCCUAACACAUGCAAGUCGAACGAGACCUUCGGGUCUAGUGGCGCACGGGUGCGUAACGCGUGGGAACCUGCCCUUAGGUUCGGAAUAACUCCCCGAAAGGGGUGCUAAUACCGGAUAAUGUCUUCGGACCAAAGAUUUAUCGCCUUUGGAUGGGCCCGCGUUGGAUUAGCUAGUUUGUAGGGUAAAAGCCUACCAAGGCGACGAUCCAUAGCUGGUCUGAGAGGAUGAUCAGCCACACUGGGACUGAGACACGGCCCAGACUCCUACGGGAGGCAGCAGUGGGGAAUAUUGGACAAUGGGCGAAAGCCUGAUCCAGCAAUGCCGCGUGAGUGAUGAGGGCCUUAGGGUUGUAAAGCUCUUUUACCCGGGAUGAUAAUGACAGUACCGGGAGAAUAAGCUCCGGCUAACUCCGUG